UACGGAGGAUCCAAGCGUUAUCCGGAAUCAUUGGGUUUAAAGGGUCCGUAGGCGGUCUAGUAAGUCAGUGGUGAAAGCCCAUCGCUCAACGGUGGAACGGCCAUUGAUACUGCUGGACUUGAAUUACUAGGAAGUAACUAGAAUAUGUAGUGUAGCGGUGAAAUGCUUAGAGAUUACAUGGAAUACCAAUUGCGAAGGCAGGUUACUACUAGUGGAUUGACGCUGAUGGACGAAAGCGUGGGUAGCGAACAGG
This 253-nucleotide ribosomal RNA is filed under the name uncultured bacterium. RNAcentral's name for it is "partial 16S ribosomal RNA". It matches the Rfam family "Bacterial small subunit ribosomal RNA", at positions 524 to 776 of the family's 1533-position model. The record is from RNAcentral.